Molecule: ribosomal RNA, 301 nt
Filed under: uncultured bacterium
Lineage: Bacteria
Description: partial 16S ribosomal RNA
Rfam family: Bacterial small subunit ribosomal RNA
Source: RNAcentral
CAGCAGCCGCGGUAAAACGAAGGGUGCAAGCGUUACUCGGAAUUACUGGGCGUAAAGCGUGCGUAGGUGGUGGUUUAAGUCCGUUGUGAAAGCCCUGGGCUCAACCUGGGAAUUGCAGUGGAUACUGGAUCACUAGAGUGUGGUAGAGGAUAGUGGAAUUUCCGGUGUAGCAGUGAAAUGCGUAGAGAUCGGAAGGAACAUCUGUGGCGAAGGCGACUAUCUGGGCCAACACUGACACUGAGGCACGAAAGCGUGGGGAGCAAACAGGAUUAGAUACCCCAGUAGUCCCUGUCUCUUAUAA